GAUGAACGCUAGCGGCAGGCCUAAUACAUGCAAGUCGGACGGGAUUCAGGAGCUUGCUUCUGAUGAGAGUGGCGCACGGGUGCGUAACACGUAUGUAACCUACCUUUAUCAGGGGGAUAGCCUCUCGAAAGAGAGAUUAAGCCCGCAUAAAAUCACAGCACAGCAUUGUGUAAUGAUCAAAUAUUUAUAGGAUAAAGAUGGGCAUGCGGAACAUUAGCUAGAUGGCGGGGUAACGGCCCACCAUGGCGACGAUGUUUAGGGGAUCUGAGAGGAUGGCCCCCCACACUGGUACUGAGACACGGACCAGACUCCUACGGGAGGCAGCAGUAAGGCAUAUUGGUCAAUGGGCGGAAGCCUGAACCAGCCAUGCCGCGUGCAGGAAGACGGCCCUACGGGUUGUAAACUGCUUUUAUACGGGAAUAAACCCAGAUACGUGUAUCUGGCUGAAUGUACUGUAAGAAUAAGGAUCGGCUAACUCCGUG
RNAcentral lists this ribosomal RNA (482 nucleotides) under uncultured bacterium. Its description in RNAcentral is "partial 16S ribosomal RNA". It matches the Rfam family "Bacterial small subunit ribosomal RNA", at positions 28 to 507 of the family's 1533-position model. The record is from RNAcentral.